CCUACGGGAGGCUGCAGUGGGGAAUAUUGCACAAUGGGCGCAAGCCUGAUGCAGCCAUGCCGCGUGUGCGAAGAAGGCCUUCGGGUUGUAAAGCACUUUCAGCGGGGAGGAAGGCGGUGAGGUUAAUAACCUCAUCGAUUGACGUUACCCGCAGAAGAAGCACCGGCUAACUCCGUGCCAGCAGCCGCGGUAAUACGGAGGGUGCAAGCGUUAAUCGGAAUUACUGGGCGUAAAGCGCACGCAGGCGGUCUGUCAAGUCGGAUGUGAAAUCCCCGGACUCAACCUGGGAACUGCAUUCGAAACUGGCAGGCUAGAGUCUUGUAGAGGGGGGUAGAAUUCCAGGUGUAGCGGUGAAAUGCGUAGAGAUCUGGAGGAAUACCGGCGGCGAAGGCGGCCCCCUGGACAAAGACUGACGCUCAGGUGCGAAAGCGUGGGGAGCAAACAGGAUUAGAUACCCGAGUAGUC
Molecule: ribosomal RNA, 465 nt
Filed under: uncultured Klebsiella sp.
Lineage: Bacteria; Pseudomonadati; Pseudomonadota; Gammaproteobacteria; Enterobacterales; Enterobacteriaceae
Description: bacterial SSU rRNA
Rfam family: Bacterial small subunit ribosomal RNA
Source: RNAcentral